RNAcentral lists this ribosomal RNA (449 nucleotides) under uncultured bacterium. Its description in RNAcentral is "partial 16S ribosomal RNA". It matches the Rfam family "Bacterial small subunit ribosomal RNA", at positions 29 to 523 of the family's 1533-position model. The record is from RNAcentral.
AACGAACGCUGGCGGCAUGCCUAACACAUGCAAGUCGAACGAGAUCUUCGGGUCUAGUGGCGCACGGGUGCGUAACGCGCGGGAAUCUGCCCUUUGGUUCGGAAUAACAGUUGGAAACGACUGCUAAUACCGGAUGAUGACGAAAGUCCAAAGAUUUAUCGCCAGAGGAUGAGCCCGCGUAGGAUUAGCUAGUUGGUAUGGUAAAGGCGCACCAAGGCGACGAUCCUUAGCUGGUCUGAGAGGAUGAUCAGCCACACUGGGACUGAGACACGGCCCAGACUCCUACGGGAGGCAGCAGUGGGGAGUAUUGGACAAUGGGCGAAAGCCUGAUCCAGCAAUGCCGCGUGAGUGAUGAAGGCCUUAGGGUUGUAAAGCUCUUUUACCCGGGAUGAUAAUGACAGUACCGGGAGAAUAAGCUCCGGCUAACUCCGUGCCAGCCGCCGCGGUAA